Molecule: long non-coding RNA, 901 nt
Organism: Ananas comosus (pineapple)
Lineage: Eukaryota; Viridiplantae; Streptophyta; Magnoliopsida; Poales; Bromeliaceae
Exons: 2
Source: RefSeq, a predicted model, not a curated record
UCCACAGAUUCUACAGCAUGAGAGAGAGAGAGAGAGAGAGAGAGAGAGAGAGAGAGAGAGGAAAAAAAAAAAGGGGUUAAAAAGGUCCUUUCAUGGCCAGGGACACUCAUUAUUUGGAUAGGAGUUUACCAGAAUAGUAUAAUAUUUUGAACACUGUCCUUGUUAUUCUGCUUUGUAAAGGAAUAAGACCAAAGAAAAGGGUAGUCCUACACCCAGUCUCAAUUCCCACAUAAAUCUCUUCUGUCAGAGAUAAAACAGGGACCCUUCUACUGCUCUCUGGGCAGAUCCCCAAUACCAUGAUCAUCUUGGAGCUUCCCCUCAUAAAUCAUUAUGCAACACUCACCUUCAAAAGCACCCCAAAUGCGUGCGCGACAGCUGUUUGUCGCGCGUGUGCAGGGCCGGCUCAUCAAGAAUACUUUCGGGUGUGUGUGUUUCGAGGUGCGCGGAGCAUUGCUCUCUCAUCAUUGGUUUUUGGAAAGGAGAGGUGAGUCAUGCAUCUUUCUACUGUAGGGAGCAUCUUCCUCUAUUUCAGAAGGAGCCACUGCUGUAAUUAACUUGGGCACUUCCUUGGGGAUUUGGUAUUUCCCUUUCUAAGACCAUGUGGUUACCAUGCAAUAUAUAUAUAUACAUAUAUAUAUAUACACCAGCCUAGCUCUCUCUCUCUCUCUAUAUAUAUAUAUAUAUAUAUGUAUGUAUGUAUGUAUGUAUAGUAGCUAUUCUUAAUGUGAUUAUGGUAUAAAUGUGGGAACAACUUGGUAAGUGAGAACUGUGCUAAUUAGGGUAGCACCUUAAUUACAUUGCUUAGAAUAUAAACAAAUUCAUUAAGAAAUGGUCUAUGCUGUUGCAUUUUUCUCUUUGAGUACUGUAGAUGAAUUUUCUAUUACACAGGUAAAAUUAAACA